RNAcentral lists this unclassified non-coding RNA (296 nucleotides) under uncultured Malassezia. RNAcentral describes it as "sequence contains ITS1, 5.8S rRNA gene, ITS2". The record is from RNAcentral. Lineage: Eukaryota; Fungi; Basidiomycota; Malasseziomycetes; Malasseziales; Malasseziaceae.
CAUACGGACGCCACAAGUGUCCCUGGCCGCCUACACCCACUAUACAUCCACAAACCCGUGUGCACUGUCCUUGGAAAGGGCAUUUGGAGAGAAAAAGGAAGAGAAGCGAGAGCAGUGCGAUCCGUCGCGUUGGGCGUUUUCUUUUACUUGGUCUUCUUUAUGCCCUUUUCUUGCCACCAACCCCACUGGUUGGUAUGAACGUGGAACUUGGUUGGAGCGUCGCUGGCCGACAAACUAUUCUCAACUUUUUUCAACGGAUCUCUUGGUUCUUCCCUCCUUGAAGAACACCGCAACAG